RNAcentral lists this ribosomal RNA (497 nucleotides) under uncultured bacterium. RNAcentral's name for it is "partial 16S ribosomal RNA". It matches the Rfam family "Bacterial small subunit ribosomal RNA", at positions 28 to 507 of the family's 1533-position model. The record is from RNAcentral.
GAUGAACGCUGGCGGCGUGCCUAAUACAUGCAAGUCGAGCGAACAGACGAGGAGCUUGCUCCUCUGACGUUAGCGGCGGACGGGUGAGUAACACGUGGAUAACCUACCUAUAAGACUGGGAUAACUUCGGGAAACCGGAGCUAAUACCGGAUAAUAUAUUGAACCGGAUGGUUCAAUAGUGAAAGACGGUUUUGCUGUCACUUAUAGAUGGAUCCGCGCCGCAUUAGCUAGUUGGUAAGGUAACGGCUUACCAAGGCAACGAUGCGUAGCCGACCGGAGAGGGUGGUCGCCCACCCUGGAACUGAGACACGGUCCAGACUCCUACGGGAGGCAGCAGUAGGGAAUCUUCCGCAAUGGGCGAAAGCUUUACGGAGCAACCCCGCGUGAGUUAUGAAGGUCUUCGGUUCGUAAAACUCUGUUAUUAGUGAAGAACAAAUGUGUAAGUAACUAUGCACUUCUUGACGGUACCUAAUCAGAAAGCCACGGCUAACUACGUG